Non-coding RNA from Agelaius phoeniceus (red-winged blackbird), 654 nucleotides. The record is from RefSeq and is a predicted model, not a curated record. NCBI's taxonomy places the organism in Eukaryota, Metazoa, Chordata, Aves, Passeriformes, Icteridae.
UUCAUGUCCUUUUUUCAUUUCAUGUAUUUUAAAGCAAGUCCCAAGAGCUCAUCCUCGAGAGAGCUCCAAACCGAACAGACCAGAUUUAAAGCACUCAGUGGAAAUGGAAAACCAUAACUUUAAUAACAGACUGGUGUCACCUCCUCUUUUGAGUCCUUGAAAUUCCGUGUGGGCCUCAGGCCAGGGGCCCUGUGUGAUCCCUUCCCUCGGGAGCCGCAGUGGUUUCCCCGUUGAGUCGCGUGGCUCAAGGUCGACGUUUUUCAGCAAAUCUGGUGGACUGCAGAAGACAACCGCAUGGGAUACCAAGCUCUAAUGGACCUUUGGGAAGAGAAGCUGUGGCUUAUGUGGAAUUUACAUGGGCCUCCUGGUGGAAGAAAGCUUAUCUGUUUAGUAUUUGUGCAUUUUACUAAAAUGGCAGCUUUAAAAAAAAAAAAAAAAGUUGUGUAUCUGCUAUUGUGAUGCCAAUGCCCGUGUUUUAAGUGGAAAAAAAAAAAUGACCUCUUUGCUUUGUGCUGUGUACACAAGAUUGCUGGAAAAGUAAAGGAAUACCCUUUUUAUGGCUCACACAGCUUAAAAGUAGCUGUCACUCAAACAUGCGCUCACAGUUGAGCUGAUUUUGUUUCAUUCUAAAUAAAUUGUUUCUUUUGAGGAAAA